This 202-nucleotide ribosomal RNA is filed under the name uncultured bacterium. Its description in RNAcentral is "partial 16S ribosomal RNA". It matches the Rfam family "Bacterial small subunit ribosomal RNA", at positions 130 to 334 of the family's 1533-position model. The record is from RNAcentral.
CCGAUGGCGGGGGAUAACUACUGGAAACGGUAGCUAAUACCGCAUAACGUCGCAAGACCAAAGAGGGGGACCUUAGGGCCUCUUGCCAUCGGAUGUGCCCAGAUGGGAUUAGCUAGUAGGUGGGGUAAUGGCUCACCUAGGCGACGAUCCCUAGCUGGUCUGAGAGGAUGAUCAGCCACACUGGGACUGAGACACGGCCCAG